This 697-nucleotide ribosomal RNA is filed under the name Mycolicibacterium sp. RNAcentral describes it as "bacterial SSU rRNA". It matches the Rfam family "Bacterial small subunit ribosomal RNA", at positions 56 to 770 of the family's 1533-position model. The record is from RNAcentral. Lineage: Bacteria; Bacillati; Actinomycetota; Actinomycetes; Mycobacteriales; Mycobacteriaceae.
UGCAAGUCGAACGGAAAGGCCCUUCGGGGUACUCGAGUGGCGAACGGGUGAGUAACACGUGGGUGAUCUGCCCUGCACUUUGGGAUAAGCCUGGGAAACUGGGUCUAAUACCGAAUAUGACCGCGCACUUCCUGGUGUGUGGUGGAAAGCUUUUGCGGUGUGGGAUGGGCCCGCGGCCUAUCAGCUUGUUGGUGGGGUAAUGGCCUACCAAGGCGACGACGGGUAGCCGGCCUGAGAGGGUGACCGGCCACACUGGGACUGAGAUACGGCCCAGACUCCUACGGGAGGCAGCAGUGGGGAAUAUUGCACAAUGGGCGCAAGCCUGAUGCAGCGACGCCGCGUGAGGGAUGACGGCCUUCGGGUUGUAAACCUCUUUCAAUAGGGACGAAGCGCAAGUGACGGUACCUAUAGAAGAAGGACCGGCCAACUACGUGCCAGCAGCCGCGGUAAUACGUAGGGUCCGAGCGUUGUCCGGAAUUACUGGGCGUAAAGAGCUCGUAGGUGGUUUGUCGCGUUGUUCGUGAAAACUCACAGCUUAACUGUGGGCGUGCGGGCGAUACGGGCAGACUAGAGUACUGCAGGGGAGACUGGAAUUCCUGGUGUAGCGGUGGAAUGCGCAGAUAUCAGGAGGAACACCGGUGGCGAAGGCGGGUCUCUGGGCAGUAACUGACGCUGAGGAGCGAAAGCGUGGGGAGCG